RNAcentral lists this ribosomal RNA (608 nucleotides) under fungal endophyte. RNAcentral's name for it is "eukaryotic LSU rRNA". The stretch from base 191 to 344 matches the Rfam family "5.8S ribosomal RNA". Lineage: Eukaryota; Fungi. The record is from RNAcentral.
CGGAGGGAUCAUUAAAGAGUUCUAUAACUCCCAAACCCAUGUGAACAUACCUAACGUUGCCUCGGCAGGUCGCACCUACCUUGUAGCACCCUACCCUGUAGGGCCUACCCGGGAGAUGCGGGUAAGCCUGCCGGCGGCCCACCAAACUCUGUUUGAUAUUGAAUUCUGAACAUAUAACUAAAUAAGUUAAAACUUUCAACAACGGAUCUCUUGGUUCUGGCAUCGAUGAAGAACGCAGCGAAAUGCGAUAAGUAAUGUGAAUUGCAGAAUUCAGUGAAUCAUCGAAUCUUUGAACGCAUAUUGCGCCCAUUAGUAUUCUAGUGGGCAGGACCGUUCGAGCGUCAUUUCGACCCUUAAGCCUUAGUUGCUUAGUGUUGGGAGCCUACGGCAACGUAGCUCCUCAAAGUUAGUGGCGGAGUUGGUUCACACUCUAGACGUAGUAAUUUUUUAUCUCGCCUAUUAGUUGGACUGAUCCCCUGCCGUAAAACCCCCAACUUAUCAAGGUUGACCUCGAAUCGGUUCAGACAAACUCGCUAAAUUGAAGCAUCUUAGUCAGCGAAGGAAAAGAAACCAACAGGGAUUGCCCUAGUAACGGCGAGUGAAGCGGC